GGUAUAAUCACUGUCGUCAGUAUUGACACGGAUUUCUGUUCCUUUUAUGUUAUAAUAUAAUGUAUAAAACGAGUAUAUAGACGUUUUUUUUUUUAAAUGUAUUUUUUAUAUCAGCAGAAAACGCGUUUCGACGUAUGCGGAAACUCGGCACAAUGAAAGAAGUGUCACAGAUUGCCAGUAUCCUUAAAAUUAUUUUUCACAGUCCAAAGUGAACGAGAACAAGGUUAUUCCGUUUAGUGAAUACCGUCCGAGUCUGGUUAUUACCCGGGGCAAGAUCCCGACACGGUACAGCAAGAUUUCAAGAGAAUAAGCUAGACCUGACAAUUGCUGUCGUAUAGUGUGUUAUUUGAUGGAAAUGUGACAGCAAUUUCUCCAACCUCAGCAAGCUCUUCACCGCCAAACAACAUUUUAGAUAACACAUUUGAUAUGCAUAAUGAGACGCAAGAUAUUCUCAGAGCAUAGUUAUACAAUUUAAUUGACAGCUUACAACAGUCAUUCGAUGUAAAUGAUGGUCCUGAUUUUUUCAACAUGCAUCCACCACAUCUAUCAAAUCAACCAACGUAUGCAGAUUUCUUAACACCAUUACGCAGAAUUAAACAUAAACUCUUUUAAUAAUUAUAUAUAAAUUAAUAUUUUUUUGUGAAA
Molecule: long non-coding RNA, 645 nt
Organism: Myzus persicae (green peach aphid)
Lineage: Eukaryota; Metazoa; Arthropoda; Insecta; Hemiptera; Aphididae
Exons: 4
Source: RefSeq, a predicted model, not a curated record